AAAGCAGUCUGUUCUAACAAGCUUUUAAAUGACAAAUCCUGCCUAAGCGUUAGUUAAAAACUUUUCUUCUAAACAUUGCAGCCUGCUUCUGUAUGUUUUCCUUGAUUUUCCUUGACUGUGAGCAAGACUUUCUUCCCAUUUGCACUCUGGAGUCAGGCAUGGUAAGGGUGGCAUGCUACGGAAAUGCGCAUGAGCUCUAUCUGCUCAGUAGACUCCUGAUCAAUGUCCUUGCAUCUGCUUUUGUGCAUCUCUUCUGUUGUCUCUAGAUGACCAGCUUUGCAGAGCAGGACAUUUCCAGCAUGUAUUGUUUUAUUCAGUACAGCACUUUUUUGUGUACAAAAGGGAAGGAUGAAAUCCAACUUUUCCACAACUGAAUACAUCUUGCAAGGGCUAGAGUCAGAUGGUGCUAUUCAAAGGAGUGAAGUUAAAAUGAAAAAGGUUUUUUUUGGUUGAGUGUGUUUUCAUUCAUGGAUUAUGCCUACUAUAAAUAAAAAUCACAGGAUUCACUAACUCAUCCUUUCUAUUUUCUAGCUACUGGUGGGUGCAACUUACUCCAGCAGCUGUGGGUUCAUAAGAAACUGCACAUGUUGUCUGGCUUCUCUGUUAAAACUUAGUAAAUGCUGUAACUUACCACCAAAUGUAUUGUUGUACUGCUCAGUUCUUAGAUACUGUUCUUGCUGCAGCUUUUGAAAGCAAUAAGAGAAAUUUUCCACAUAAAUAGUUGCCAUAUGUUAAACAAUUAUUUUAAGCAGUUCCUUUUAUAUAUGAAUUGUGGAUUUGGCGGUUUUGUUGUAUGAACCAGAACUGUAUGAAAGCUUAUGAGAAUGUCUGGGAGGUUGAUCCACAAGAUGUGAUGGGCUCCUUCAGCUCCACACCUUGGAGAUGGCUGGUAUCCCUGAGAAUCAGUCUUGUAUUUAUGUUAACAGUAUUUUACUAGUUCCAAUACUGGAAAAACAUACCGCAUGUAUGAGGUAUUGCAUAUGCAAAGCUGCUAAAUGCUGAACUUCUUGUUUGUUUUGAUAGGGCAUUAGUGAUUUCAGAAUGAAGAAAGGUAUUUCAUGUGUUAGAAUUAUCACUGACUUCCAGAUUUUUGAGAAAACUUUCUGUAGUCAGGAGGGUUCCUGUUUUCUGCUUUUACUCCAAAAACCUGUAACAAUGUUGGAGCACCUUGAUGCACAAGUUGAUUCAUUAUUUUUGUCUCUGUAACCAAUUUAGUUGGAUGUUAAUAAACCAUACUUGCAAAAGGUCAUAAA
This 1253-nucleotide long non-coding RNA is filed under the name Strigops habroptila (Kakapo). Its description in RNAcentral is "lncRNA (ENSSHBG00005006266.1)". Lineage: Eukaryota; Metazoa; Chordata; Aves; Psittaciformes; Psittacidae. The record is from RNAcentral.